ACCCCGGCCCCCUGGCUGGGAUGGGGCGGCAGGAAGGUGGCCGUCCGGCAGCCCCGUGGGUCUGUCCGGCUGUGUAAAAUCAACCCACUCACCCUGCCUCAACUGCCUUACUGGGCGAGGGCUGCUGUGUGGCCAUGAGGGAGCCCCCCUCAGCGUGCUCUCGGGACCAGGGUGGGGGUGCAGGCUGGUAAACAGUUAUCGCAAUGCUGUGAGAGAGGAACACAGAAACCGGGGGCACAGGCCGGAGGGUCUGGAGGGGCGCUGGUGCUGGCUGCCGGAGAGGUGCUUAGGGAGGUGGCAUCGAGCUUUGAGACCGGUUCGGGAGGGGGACGGGUGCCUGCUAAGUGCGGAACGCGAGGUGCGCUUUCCCAGCAGGGAGGGGUGGGUAAGGCCGGCAUGUGCCGAAGCGAAGCGGAAGGAAUUCCAGGGUCGGCCUCUGCAGACGGGCCUGCAGGGGAGCGAGGGAGAGAGGAGGCCCGUCUUCUGGCUGCCAGGACCUUCCGGCAUGUGGUGGACCCUGAAUUCUCCGCAGACCCCACCCUGAUCGGGUUCUGGGUGGGUUCUCGGGCCAGGAAGGCCGGUGGGGCUCAGGGAGGGAACCAGAGCUGGAAAGGUCUGCAGCAUCUCCAUAUCUUUACUGAGAUCAGGAGACAGAAGGUCUUGGGUGCAAAUCCCACGGGAAGGUUCCUAUACCCUGAUGGGUAGUCCGAUGGGGCGUUACCUGACUCCCCGUGGGCAGGCCCGGCCUCCACUUGUCUCUGCUUUCAGCUGGGGCAGCCAGGCCCUUGGCUUGAAGGGUCCGUGGGCCCAGUGCUCUGUUCACUCUGAGCUGGUGCAGUCUCUGACAAACCAGGACAGUCGGGGCCUCCGUGGAAGGCACUAGAAGGAGGCACAGCCCCUGAAUCCCAACCAGCAAAUCACCCCUCACCCAGAGCAGAGUCCGGCAACCUUCCAGCUGACCCAGCACGCUUGCUGACUGCAGCCCCGAAAAGAGAAGCAAAGCGAGGUACUUUCCCGCCUGCACAACUUUCGAGUUCCUUUUGGUCCUUCCCCACAACCGACUCGGGUGGGAUAUUCCAGACCCAGGCUCCCGGGGCCGCCUCCUGCGAGCCUGGAGACCGUGUUGUCCGAGAUGUUCACGAUAAUAUCUCAGGCCCGGGGGUCCUGCUGACGGCCGGCCUGAAUCCAGGGACAGUGGGCCUGGAAAGGACCAUCUUCGCCCCGAGCCAACACGCGACGCUGCUCAGCCAGCCCAGAGCUGUGCAACCAUCACCAUGAUCAAUUUUAGAACGUGUUCAUCACACCAAAAAGAAACCUGUCGCCUUUAGCAGAGACACCCACCCCCCCUGCUCCCCCCCUCCCCCCAUUUCACUCCGAUCACUGCCUCUGGCCCUAGGACACCAUGAGUUGACUAAGAAAAGAACAUAAUUUUUACUUUGGAUGUUUGACUCUUGCAGAUCCUAAACCUGUCUCGGCAGUGCAGACACAGAUCUGCGCUGACAUUCUGACCUCGUGCCUUCACUGGGAAAGCCCUGAGACCUUCGCGUGGUCGGUUUUCUAGCUUGACGCUUCCUUUUUUAAGCAAACAAAAUAUUUUUUUUGUUUAUUUCAACCACUUUUUCAUGGACAUCUUUCUAAGAUAUUGUGAACAUUGGCCCAACAGUGAUUCUCCUCCUGUUCCUUAACAGUAGGAUCCUAAAUUUAUUUGGAACUGCAAAGACCCCAUUUAAAGACUACACAUUUUCCAGCUUCCUUAUGGAAAGGUGUAGCCGUAUGACUAAGUUCUGGCCAAUGAGAUGUGACCAGAGGUGUUGUGUGGCACUUACCUCCUCUUUAGAAAGGAAGGGAUGGCCCUUUUCCCUCUUCUUCUUCCUUCUGCCUGGACAAAGGAUAUAAAUGCUGGAGCUUUUGCAGCCAUUCUGAGCCAUGAGGUGACUUGGAGACCAAAGAUCAUGGAAGGAGGAGAAACACAAAACAGACUGGGUUCCUGUCAUCUGGGACUAUUUUAAUCCCGGACUUCCUGUCUCUGGACUACUUAAAAAUAAAUUUUUUAAAUCAA
Lynx canadensis (Canada lynx) is the source of this 2059-nucleotide long non-coding RNA. RefSeq lists it as uncharacterized. The transcript has 2 exons. The record is from RefSeq and is a predicted model, not a curated record. NCBI's taxonomy places the organism in Eukaryota, Metazoa, Chordata, Mammalia, Carnivora, Felidae.